UCCUCUUUGGCCAAGGGGUAAGGCAUUCCACUCGUAAUGCGAUGGAAAGAUCACCCGUUCGAUUCGGGUAAGAGGAA
Non-coding RNA from Naganishia friedmannii, 77 nucleotides. NCBI's taxonomy places the organism in Eukaryota, Fungi, Basidiomycota, Tremellomycetes, Filobasidiales, Filobasidiaceae. The record is from the annotation of a GenBank genome assembly.